RNAcentral lists this ribosomal RNA (207 nucleotides) under uncultured bacterium. RNAcentral's name for it is "partial 16S ribosomal RNA". It matches the Rfam family "Bacterial small subunit ribosomal RNA", at positions 568 to 774 of the family's 1533-position model. The record is from RNAcentral.
UCCGUAGGCGGCCGUGUGUGUCGGGUGUGAAAUCCUGCAGCUUAACUGUAGAAUUGCGCUCGAAACUACACGGCUAGAGUAUUGGAGAGGUGAGUGGAAUUCCAGGUGUAGCGGUGAAAUGCGUAGAUAUCUGGAGGAACACCAACGGCGAAGGCAGCUCACUGGACAAUUACUGACGCUGAGGGACGAAAGUGUGGGGAGCGAAAG